CGAAAACAAAAUGGCGCCGACGUUAUACCAGAGGCUUCCUUAUGCAAUAAAAAGCCGGUUGGAUCCAGAGUGGUUUUUAAAACUAGGCAUUUAAGACUUCAGUGCCCUAACAUAUGACUUUGAAGUUCGAGAUAGAAUAUGAAUGUCACAACCGACCGAUGUUUGUUCGGGUUUGAAACUGCAGAGACUGAAGAGAAGCAGGAGAGUUGUGUGUUUUUAUCUGUAACUGUUCCCCUUAGUAAUGCAGACAGAUACAAUGUUGAGUCUGGAGUGGAUAAUUUAUUGUUUUAGGUGGACUGCAACAAUCAUGAUGAUGAAAAAGCCACCGAGCAACCAUUAGAUAGCUGUUUACAUUUAGAAUGUUCAGUUGAAAUUGUUGUCAACCAUAAUAAUUAUAUGAGUGCAAAGUAUGUGACAACAAAUAUAGGACUAGAACUGUCUUCAAACGAUAUUUAGUAAGCCACAUAUUUGUAAUAUUUGUUUAAGCUUGUAAAAAACAUUUUUUGCAUCAAAAUGUAAGGUUUGUUGAAGAUACCAAAAACAUAAUUACAAUUUGUGUUGUGUAUUGUCAUUGUCUAUAGAUUUUGUUGAAGUUUGUCAAGGCCAAUGUUACUGAAAUUAUAGAGAUUUGGCGGUUACCGUAGUUCAAUAAUGUUUGGAAAUAUGUAAUUGAUUAUGUGCAUGUUGGUAGACCGCAUCAUUUAUCACUCAUGAAAAUAGUGAAGCUGUGCCGACAGUGAUAUACAGUGUACUACUUACUGGAAUCCUGUAUUUGUCGAGUUCCAUAAUUAUUUUCUUAAUACUGUUAGUAGACAGUGUUCAUAUCAAUUAAAAAUAAAUCAACAUAAAUAUAUGAUAUAUUGUCAUGUUUGCAAUGUACAUAAUUGUUACCAUGUCAGACAUAUUUUAAUUUUAAAUGACAUAAUUUUAAAAUUAAUGUUAUGAACUCUUAAAUAUUUUGAUAAAAGUUUAUUCAUUUCUCUCUAUAUUUAAUUAAUUUUAGAAAGUAUUUGAAACAAAGAUUUGAUUUGAUUAACAAAAGAGUUUCAUUACGUGGCAAAAGUUUAUGGUUUGAGGUA
Dreissena polymorpha is the source of this 1079-nucleotide long non-coding RNA. RefSeq lists it as uncharacterized. The record is from RefSeq and is a predicted model, not a curated record. NCBI's taxonomy places the organism in Eukaryota, Metazoa, Mollusca, Bivalvia, Myida, Dreissenidae. The transcript is spliced from 3 exons.